AACGCGUAACCCUAAAAUUGUCUGCAGCCUCACAUUUUUGUAGAACAAAAUUUCUUUGUUCAAUCUUUUAGAUCUCAAAAUUAUUGUCUGAUUUCUGAUGAUGGAUUGUUCGAGAUCUCAAACCAACACCAUUAGGUUGCAACAGAAUUUUUGGUAAUUUCUACCUUCCGUUGGAAGAUUUGGUUAUUCAAUCCAAUGGUGGAAUCUCAUGACUCUCCUCUAUACAUGUGUGGAUGAUAUGCCUUGAUAUCUUUCUUCUUUUAAAACAAGAUCCCGAAUCACCCGGCAGCAAGAACGCGGUGGGGUUAUGAUCCUGACUCGUGACACACUAAUCAAGGGGCUGUGUGUAAAACUGGAGUUGUUGCAUCUGGGACACUUACACAGGCAUUGUAAAACUGGAAUUGCAGAGGGCGAUGGGGAAGGGGCAUUCUAAAACUGGAGUUGCAGAGGGCGAUGGGGUACCAAACCUAUGUAUUUUAUAUUGAGUACCAAGGACACGCAUUCUAUAGCUGAACCUCACUUCAGAUUCAGCUCACCAAACUAAUUUCAAUACUAAGUUGAGUGCAAGUUUCCAAAAGCUUUGCCAUUUUCACCAGUAAACUCGGAAGUUUGAGCUCAGCAUCACAUCAUACCAUUUCUUCAAUACAAACAACGUUGAGAUGAGACAGAAUCCUACUUUCCAAUCAUCUCCAACGUUUACUCAAAUUGGCUAUCCAAACAAGGGAAACAAAUGAUGAAUGCUAGUAUUGCUGUACACCAUUUGAAGUUGUUUUAAAUAUCUUGCAUGGACAGUCAUUUUAUGUGAUGACUACAUUUUCUUUAUGUAUUGAUGGCUAAGUUUAACACGAUUUCCUUA
This is a long non-coding RNA of Papaver somniferum (opium poppy), 856 nucleotides long. RefSeq lists it as uncharacterized. The transcript has 3 exons. The record is from RefSeq and is a predicted model, not a curated record. NCBI's taxonomy places the organism in Eukaryota, Viridiplantae, Streptophyta, Magnoliopsida, Ranunculales, Papaveraceae.